UGCAGGGGCAGUAGUGAGGCCUUGAGGUCCUGAAGUAGUGCAGCUCAUUAACGCCAUUUUAAAGCAAGAUGUUCAAAGGCAACGGACAGAUUUUGACUUUCAGAAGAAUUCUCCAAUAAAUCUGGUGUGAAAUGGGAUUUGGCCCAAAGGUCCCAGGAGAUAGAACCUGGCAAAGGCUGUUCCUACCACUCGGCUUCUCUCUAGCUAUUUAAGAAACUCAAAUCAAUACCUGGUCCUGGCAGAUGAAGAGAAUCGGGUCCUGUUUUCACCGGCAUGCUGCCCCUGGAACCGAUGGGCCAGAGAAUCUGGGCUGCCUUACUGAGAUCAGUUGACACUGUGUGAGGAAAGAACGUAUCUGGUUUUUCAUCUUAAUGAAAAGCAGUCAUGGCGUUGUGAAA
Ictidomys tridecemlineatus (thirteen-lined ground squirrel) is the source of this 398-nucleotide non-coding RNA. Lineage: Eukaryota; Metazoa; Chordata; Mammalia; Rodentia; Sciuridae. The record is from RefSeq and is a predicted model, not a curated record.